AUACCGGGCCUUUUUGGGCUUGGUAAUUGGAAUGAGGGAGAGUUAAACGGACCAUCGAGUAUCCAUUGGAGGGCAAGUCUGGUGCCAGCAGCUGCGGUAAUACCAGCUCCAAUAGCGUAUAUUAAAGUUGUUGCAGUUAAAAAGCUCGUAGUUGGACUUGUGUGCGCUGUCCGCGGGUGGCCUGCGCCCAAAAGGGCGUUUCGGUUCGGCCCCGGUGGCGCCUUGAAAUCUGCAGCUGGGGGGACGUUGGCCUUAACUGGUCGGCGACCGCACGCCGGCUGCUCGGUUACUGUGAGAAAAUUAGAGUGUUCAAGGCAGGCAUUGGGUGCAAUUGAAUACAUUAGCAUGGAAUAAUAAAAUAUGGCUCCUGCCGUAUUUUGUUGGUUUUGACUGGUGGGAGUAAUGAUUGAUAGGGACGGUUGGGGGUGCUAGUAUUGAGCGGCCAGAGGUGAAAUUCAUGGAUUCGCUCAAGACUAACUUAUGCGAAGGCAUUCACCAAGGACGUCCUCUUUAAUCAAGAACGAAAGUUGGGGGAUCGAAGACGAUCAGAUACCGUCGUAGUCUCAACCAUAAACUAUGUCGACUUGGGAUCGGCGGUAGUUUUUUCAUUAAGACACUGUCGGGACCACGGGAGAAAUCAAAGUGUCUGGACUCUGGGGGAAGUAUGGUCGCAAGGCUGAAACUUGAAGGAAUUGACGGAAGGGCACCACCAGGAGUGGAGCCUGCGGCUUAAUUUGACCCAACGCGGGGAAACUUACCAGGUCCAGAGAUGUAGAGGAUUGACAGAUUGAAGCUCUUUCUUGAUCACUUCGGUGGUGGUGCAUGGCCGUUCUUAGUUGGUGGAGUGAUUUGUCUGGUUAAUUCCGUUAACGAACGAGACCUCAGCCUGCUAGUGUAGUCGGCUGGAUUGCCUUUGGCGAUCCGUGAUUUCGACUUCUUAGAGGGACAAUCGACGCGCAGUCGAUGGAAGUUUGAGGCAAUAACAGGUCUGUGAUGCCCUUAGAUGUUCUGGGCCGCACGCGCGCUACACUGCUGGGCUCAGCGAGUUUUACUUGGCCGAGAGGCCCGGUUAAUCUUGUGAAAUCCCAGCGUGCUUGGGCUCGCCUCCUGCAACUGGAGGCGCCAACGAGGAAUUCCUAGUAGACGCAGGUCAUCAACCUGCAUCGAUUACGUCCCUGCCCUUUGUACACACCGCCCGUCGUUCCAUAAGAGUGAGGCAUCCGGUGAAUUCUCGGGAGAGCCUGGGCGUGGCCAGCAAUGGUCUGCUCGGGUUUGAACUUGCAUAAACUUGGUGCCUAUGAUUAGGG
This 1307-nucleotide ribosomal RNA is filed under the name metagenome. Its description in RNAcentral is "SSU rRNA". It matches the Rfam family "Eukaryotic small subunit ribosomal RNA", at positions 483 to 1783 of the family's 1831-position model. The record is from RNAcentral.